AGGUAUUAUUGUCAAAGUUAUAUGGCUCACGCGGGACAUUCUAUUUUACUUCACAUUCGCCUGGUGAACACGUCAUUUGCUUAGAAUCUAAUUCUACGAGGCUUGUGUCAUUCGGAGGGAGUGAGCUGCGGAUCCACUUAGAGAUUCGUGUUGGAGAACAUGACCUUGAUGCAGCCAUUGCUCAAGCAAAGGACAAAGUUAAUGAAGUUAGUUUUAAGCUUGAACAUCUAAUUGAGCAAAUUGAACAAAUAGUCAAAGAACAAAACUAUCAAAGGGACCGUGAAGAAAAUUUUCGAAUGACCAGUGAAGAUACAAAUAGCAAUGUUUUAUGGUGGGCUUUUGCACAAACAUUAAUCUUCAUCUCAAUUGGAAUUUUCCAAAUGAAGUACCUUAAAGACUUCUUUAUAGCUAAGAAGCUUGUUUAAAAUGUUGAUAAAGAUAAAUAACUGCUAAUUUGCAUAAUGUUUGAGUUAAUAAAUCAAAUACACUCAUAAAUGUGGAUUACUUUUGAGACUUGGAGACUUCAGAGGUUGAAAUUAAUGUUACAGCAUUGCAACACUGAUAAAAUGUCACUUUAACAAUGUGGUUCCUGAGUUUGAUAGAUUAA
This is a non-coding RNA of Manis javanica (Malayan pangolin), 607 nucleotides long. The record is from RefSeq and is a predicted model, not a curated record. NCBI's taxonomy places the organism in Eukaryota, Metazoa, Chordata, Mammalia, Pholidota, Manidae.